UACGGGGGAGGCAAGCGUUAUCCGGAAUUAUUGGGCGUAAAGCGUCCGCAGGUGGUCAGCCAAGUCUGCCGUCAAAUCAGGUUGCUUAACGACCUAAAGGCGGUGGAAACUGGCAGACUAGAGAGCAGUAGGGGUAGCAGGAAUUCCCAGUGUAGCGGUGAAAUGCGUAGAGAUUGGGAAGAACAUCGGUGGCGAAAGCGUGCUACUGGGCUGUAUCUGACACUCAGGGACGAAAGCUAGGGGAGCGAAAGGG
This 253-nucleotide ribosomal RNA is filed under the name uncultured bacterium. RNAcentral's name for it is "partial 16S ribosomal RNA". It matches the Rfam family "Bacterial small subunit ribosomal RNA", at positions 524 to 776 of the family's 1533-position model. RNAcentral also lists the same sequence under 1 other name. The record is from RNAcentral.